GUUCUAAAGCAGGCUCCCCCCUUAAGAGAAAACUGUGCACGUCGAAUGAAGCGUGAAUCGUGGAAAAUAUCGCACCUAAUAUCAUCGUUUAGGUUAUCCGUUACGUCUGGUUGGCGAAACUCGUUCCGACCACCAGUGCAGUGUCGAUUUCGUCAAAAACAGGCGCGCCAUUUGUGUUCUAGUAAGAAAUAUCGCGCAUCCAGUGAGCGCGGGUUCGUAAGUUUCUUGAUUUUCCUGAAUUAAAUAAAUCGAAUCGUGGUGUAGAAUAUAAACGCCGUUAUCGGACAUUGAACAAAGUUACAGAAAUAUCGAGGACAGUAUUGUGAAUAUCAAAUAAUAUCCCAUCGAGUUAGUCAGUCAGCGUUGUUACAGUUAACCUUAAUAUUUCUUUCUCAAUUCUUAACAGUCCUUCCGAGCAUUGUAUAACAACGACCUUUCCUUCGUCUUAUUUUCAGUGAAAUGUGCGUGUCGGUCUCACUAGUCUUAACGUCAUGAAUAACGAAUAUCGAGAGCGUCAAAUUGCGAAUAUUGAAAGUGCCGUUUGUCGAAAUCGAGAAUUCAAUGAACAUCAUGAGUGCAUUUGGAAUAUCGGGAGUGCCGCACAAUGAUCGUACUGCAUUAGUUAAUUCGCGAUUGCUAUUAUGUUUUGAUUAAUCGUAUCUAUGUGAGCGUCAGGGUAUAUCGGUGAAAUAAAAGUGAUGUGACGAAAAAAAUUCGAUUAAUCGAGAGGCGUUGGCGUGGAUGCAGCGGUCGGAACAGCAACGGCGGCAUAAUGGAGCACUUCGCGACAACAUGGUCGGCGACGCAAUGGCUGGUGAGUGAAUUCAUUCAGUUUCUAAUUAUGCGAUGAUCUAAUAGUACUUAAAAUUCUAAUCGUGUUUCGUUGUGAUCUUGGAAUCCAAAAUGAUAAAUAUUCAAUUCAUAAAAUUUUAAUAAUAAAUAAUAAAUAAAAAUAAAUAAAAUCUUUGAAAAAUAAGAAUUAAUCACUGAUUUAUCUUACGAUCUGAUUUUAUGAGAUUUUACCUCCUCUUUUCGAAAAUACAUUCGAAUUGUGAUACUUGCUUUAGAGGUGUUUCAAGAUCACAUCGAAUCAGCCAAUCAAUUGCAUAACGAUAUUAAUGACGAAUGCAUAAUGUCGAUUAUGCUGCAUUAUUUUUUCGUAAUGACACAUUGUCAGAAAUAAACGAAUUAGCGUCCGCGCGAUAUCUCUUUUCACACUUUCGAAGAUAUGUAGAUCUCGAAUAGUAAAUACCGAUAAUGAAGGGGCAGAACGUGUUGGGCGAGAUACCAUUACCUCGCGCUGCGGGUGCAUAAUUAUGUAAUCACGGAGCUGCUCCGGACGGAGUCUGAUUAAUAAGAAGACGAAAUCUUGUUUAUCACGAUACCGAUUGCCUUGCUCAUAUCUCGUCGUGUCCGACAGUACCUGCUACUUGAAAGCCGAGUCGCAAUUUUAAACGCGUAAUUGGGAUGCGUGAUGCAGUGUGCUUCAGAAUACGGAAUCUCGUUUUACAUUUAGAUUCUCACGGCCGCAAAAUAUUUCACAGCUAAUUGGCGACGCGCAAACAUCGUGAUCGUGUAUCGAAGUCACAUAAAUAAAACUUCUUAUAUUGUAAAGCAGGAUCGAAACGUUCACGAAAAUUAUAAUAUUAAUAUGUAAAAUAAAUGAUACAGAUAUCAUAUGAAUAAUCGCGUCUAUCAGAUUCCAUUUGUCCAAA
RNAcentral lists this long non-coding RNA (1715 nucleotides) under Ooceraea biroi (clonal raider ant). RNAcentral describes it as "uncharacterized LOC109610822". The record is from RNAcentral. Lineage: Eukaryota; Metazoa; Arthropoda; Insecta; Hymenoptera; Formicidae.